GUCAUGAGGGUGUACACAGCGGGGAUACAGUCCCCUGGUGCCUCCAUGCGAUAGCCACCCUCCACUCGCUCUAUCACCUCCUUUAGAGACUGCAGCACCCAGGACACACAAGCGACCUCUUUCCUCAGAGCUUCAGGGGCACUCCAGCGAACAGGCAGUUUGGCACGUUGGUUAUCCCACACCCUGGAGGUCGUCCUAGUCAAGCCGAAGUCGCUGACCUUGGCCACAUCAUUGUCAGACACCAAGAUGUUGCGAGCCGCCAGGUCUCUGUGAACCAGUUUCUUGGAUUCCAGACGCUGACACACAGCACGUAGUCACCAGGGUGUCUGAUCGACUCUCGCACCAGGAACAAGCCGUCCUGGGCCGGUUGCAGCUUGCGGACAGCCUCUGGGCCUGAGAUCUUCCCGUGAAACCAUCUGCUGGAGACAGGCGGCAUAUUAGUUCCAUUUGUUGUUGUCUAGUUUUCCAACAUGGACUGAAGUUCUUGGGAACAAUAUGGCCUAUGUUGCAGGGAACACAAAUACAGUGGGAGGAAAAAGUAUGUGAACCCUUUGGAAUUUCCUACAUUUCUGCAUAAAUUGGUCAUCAAAUGUACAACGUAGGAUGAUCUUCAUCUAAAUCACAAUAAUAAACAGUUUACUUAAACUAAUACCACAGAAAC
This is a long non-coding RNA of Phyllopteryx taeniolatus (common seadragon), 661 nucleotides long. RefSeq lists it as uncharacterized. The transcript is spliced from 3 exons. Lineage: Eukaryota; Metazoa; Chordata; Actinopteri; Syngnathiformes; Syngnathidae. The record is from RefSeq and is a predicted model, not a curated record.